AAAAAGACAAACCCUAGAUUUCCGUGUCCAACUUUGACUGUCCGUCUUAUAUGAAAUUUUUUUAUAAUUCGUAUUUUCAUUGUUGUUAGAUGAUAAAACAUGAUUAAUAUUUUAUACGUGACUUGUCUUUUUAAUUUUUAUAUAAUUUUUUCAAAUAAGACGGACGGUCAAACGUUGGACACGGAAACCAGAGUUUGUAUUUUUU
RNAcentral lists this microRNA precursor (205 nucleotides) under Oryza barthii. RNAcentral describes it as "MIR812 microRNA precursor family". It matches the Rfam family "MIR812 microRNA precursor family". Lineage: Eukaryota; Viridiplantae; Streptophyta; Magnoliopsida; Poales; Poaceae. The record is from Rfam by way of RNAcentral.